AUUGAACGCUGGCGGCAGGCUUAACACAUGCAAGUCGAGCGAGCGGCGGACGGGUGAGUAAUGUCUGGGAAACUGCCUGAUGGAGGGGGAUAACUACUGGAAACGGUAGCUACUAUAGCAUACCAUCCAUUGUGCCCUGAUGGGAUUAGCUAGGAGGUGGGGUAAUGGCUCACCUAGGCGACGAUCCCUAGCUGUUCUGAGAGGAUGACCAGCCACACUGGAACUGUGACACGGUCCAGACUCCUACGAGAGGCAGCAGUAGGGAAUAUGGCACAAUGGGCGCAAGCCUGAUGCAGCCAUGCCGCGUGAGUGAAGAAGGCCUUCGGGUUGUAAAGCACUUUCAGCGAGGAAGCGUUACUCGCAGACGAAGCACCGGCUAACUCCGUGCCAGCCGCCGCGGUAAUAC
This 406-nucleotide ribosomal RNA is filed under the name uncultured bacterium. RNAcentral describes it as "partial 16S ribosomal RNA". It matches the Rfam family "Bacterial small subunit ribosomal RNA", at positions 30 to 526 of the family's 1533-position model. The record is from RNAcentral.